This 506-nucleotide ribosomal RNA is filed under the name uncultured bacterium. Its description in RNAcentral is "partial 16S ribosomal RNA". It matches the Rfam family "Bacterial small subunit ribosomal RNA", at positions 28 to 507 of the family's 1533-position model. The record is from RNAcentral.
GACGAACGCUGGCGGCGUGCUUAACACAUGCAAGUCGAACGGUGAAGGGACUGGUUUUGCUGGUCCUGGAUGAGUGGCGAACGGGUGAGUAACACGUGAGUAACCUGCCCCCUUCUUCUGGAUAACCGCAUGAAAGUGUGGCUAAUACGGGAUAUUCUGGGUCUGUCGCAUGGUGGGCCUGGGAAAGAUUGCGCCUUUUUUGGUGUUUUUGGUGGGGGAUGGGCUCGCGGCCUGUCAGCUUGUUGGUGGGGUGAUGGCCUACCAAGGCGGUGACGGGUAGCCGGCCUGAGAGGGUGGACGGUCACACUGGGACUGAGACACGGCCCAGACUCCUACGGGAGGCAGCAGUGGGGAAUAUUGCACAAUGGGCGCAAGCCUGAUGCAGCGACGCCGCGUGAGGGAUGGAGGCCUUCGGGUUGUGAACCUCUUUCGCCAGUGAAGCAGGCCUGCCUCUUUUUGUGGGUGGGUUGACGGUAGCUGGAUAAGAAGCGCCGGCUAACUACGUG